GUCUAAAAUGACUCUCGGCAACGGAUAUCUCGGCUCUUGCAUCGAUGAAGAACGUAGCGAAAUGCGAUACUUGGUGUGAAUUGCAGAAUCCCGUGAACCAUCGAGUCUUUGAACGCAAGUUGCGCCCGAAGCCAUUAGGCCGAGGGCACGCCUGCCUGGGUGUCACUAA
This 169-nucleotide ribosomal RNA is filed under the name Diphysa humilis. RNAcentral's name for it is "5.8S ribosomal RNA". It matches the Rfam family "5.8S ribosomal RNA". From Rfam's summary of the family: 5.8S ribosomal RNA (5.8S rRNA) is a component of the large subunit of the eukaryotic ribosome. The record is from RNAcentral. Lineage: Eukaryota; Viridiplantae; Streptophyta; Magnoliopsida; Fabales; Fabaceae. RNAcentral also lists the same sequence under 14 other names.